AACGAACGCUGGCGGCAGGCUUAACACAUGCAAGUCGAACGCCCCGCAAGGGGAGUGGCAGACGGGUGAGUAACGCGUGGGAAUCUACCCUUUACUACGGAAUAACGCAUGGAAACGUGUGCUAAUACCGUAUGUGUCCUUCGGGAGAAAGAUUUAUCGGUAAAGGAUGAGCCCGCGUUGGAUUAGCUAGUUGGUGGGGUAAAGGCCUACCAAGGCGACGAUCCAUAGCUGGUCUGAGAGGAUGAUCAGCCACAUUGGGACUGAGACACGGCCCAAACUCCUACGGGAGGCAGCAGUGGGGAAUAUUGGACAAUGGGCGCAAGCCUGAUCCAGCCAUGCCGCGUGAGUGAUGAAGGCCCUAGGGUUGUAAAGCUCUUUCACCGGAGAAGAUAAUGACGG
RNAcentral lists this ribosomal RNA (399 nucleotides) under uncultured bacterium. RNAcentral's name for it is "bacterial SSU rRNA". It matches the Rfam family "Bacterial small subunit ribosomal RNA", at positions 29 to 457 of the family's 1533-position model. The record is from RNAcentral.